GACAGGAAAUUGAGGCUGUUCCCUUGACCACUCCAGACAGCUUAGUGGUGACUUCAAGUCCUCUUAUGAGAUGGUGGAUCAUAGCUACUGUUGAUUGAGGGUCCAAGCCAUGUAAAACCAUAAGAAAAAGGAUAGCAGGGAGACUCUGAACCACUGCCAUGCCCAUACCCAGCCUCAAAACAGCAGAGCUGUGUUUGUCAGCUCCACCUGCCUGCUCCAGAGCCUCCCCCAGACCUCUCAGUCUAUGGGACUGUUGUUGGACAGAAGGACAGAAUAAUGGGCUCCAGAUUCACAAGCCCCACCAAGAGGAUCACCCCAGGAACCCUUGGAGGCUGAGGAGUUCACUGAGGCUAGUGCAUCUUGAGACUCAGGAUGAAGACCCAACUUGGGGCUGUCAAAGAGGCUUGAAGAGGCAGAACACCCGAGAGGAGUCUGGGGCCACCACCCAGCGUCACUGUGGGAAAACGGCAGCAGGAAAUGUCCUCUCACCCGUGUGCUUCACCUCUGUCCACACCUUCCCUCCUUCUGGAAGCCUUGCCUGACCACUGGCCUGCCCCUUCUAUGGGAAUUGCUGCUGACCUUGCAGCUCACUGUAGACUUAUAUGUAUGCAGAAAUAUAAUUUUAAUUACUUUUGUAUUGCUCCAAGAGUGAUACCGAAUCACAACAGAAAAUUUAAAUAAACAAAAUAGCCAAAUUAUUACA
This 703-nucleotide long non-coding RNA is filed under the name Piliocolobus tephrosceles (Ugandan red Colobus). RNAcentral's name for it is "lncRNA (ENSPTEG00000030741.1)". The stretch from base 265 to 400 matches the Rfam family "Pvt1 oncogene conserved region 7". The record is from RNAcentral. Lineage: Eukaryota; Metazoa; Chordata; Mammalia; Primates; Cercopithecidae.